GAACGUUUAACUUAGUUGGUCAGGGCGCUUGGACUGUGUCCCAAAGAGGCGCGGGUUCAAAUCCCGCUACGUUCA
This 75-nucleotide transfer RNA is filed under the name Heliconius melpomene (postman butterfly). RNAcentral describes it as "tRNA HMEL010697". It matches the Rfam family "tRNA". Rfam says of the family: Transfer RNA (tRNA) molecules are approximately 80 nucleotides in length. Their secondary structure includes four short double-helical elements and three loops (D, anti-codon, and T loops). Lineage: Eukaryota; Metazoa; Arthropoda; Insecta; Lepidoptera; Nymphalidae. The record is from RNAcentral.